Leopardus geoffroyi (Geoffroy's cat) is the source of this 152-nucleotide long non-coding RNA. RefSeq lists it as uncharacterized. The transcript has 3 exons. The record is from RefSeq and is a predicted model, not a curated record. NCBI's taxonomy places the organism in Eukaryota, Metazoa, Chordata, Mammalia, Carnivora, Felidae.
CCUCUCUCUGCCCCUACCCUGUUCACGCUCUGUCUCUCUCUUCAUUUAGUUGAAUGCUUCAUUCCACAAAUAAACUGAGUCCUGAGAAACUUCAUUUCCAGAACCAAGGAUCCACAGGAGAACCACAUCGUUCUCUGAGGCUCCUUCACUGA